RNAcentral lists this ribosomal RNA (505 nucleotides) under uncultured bacterium. RNAcentral describes it as "partial 16S ribosomal RNA". It matches the Rfam family "Bacterial small subunit ribosomal RNA", at positions 28 to 507 of the family's 1533-position model. The record is from RNAcentral.
GACGAACGCUGGCGGCGUGCCUAAUACAUGCAAGUAGAACGCACAGUUUAUACCUUAGCUUGCUACACCAUAGACUGUGAGUUGCGAACGGGUGAGUAACGCGUAGGUAACCUGCCUGGUAGCGGGGGUUAACUAUUGGAAACGAUAGCUAAUACCGCAUAAUAUUAAUUAUUGCAUGAUAAUUAAUUGAAAGGUGCAAUUGCACCACUACCAGAUGGACCUGCGUUGUAUUAGCUAGUAGGUGAGGUAACGGCUCACCUAGGCGACGAUACAUAGCCGACCUGAGAGGGUGAUCGGCCACACUGGGACUGAGACACGGCCCAGACUCCUAAGGGAGGCAGCAGUAGGGAAUCGUCGGCAAUGGACGAAAGUCUGACCGAGCAACGCCGCGGGAGGGAAGAAGGUUGUCGGAUCGUAAAGCUCUGUUGUAAGAGAAGAACGGGUGUGAGAGUGGAAAGUUCACACUGUGACGGUAUCUUACCAGAAAGGGACGGCUAACUACGUG